AUGAGCCUCUUGAGCGCGGUGCCCGCCAUGGCGGAGCGGGCCCGGUCCUGCCCAGCCCCGACCCCCCCGGACCCCGCAAGCGCUUCCGGGUCACGUCCCGCCCGCCCGUCGCCAUGGCGACCCGCCCCGCCCCCGUCGCCAUGGCGACCGCACCCAUCGCCGCCUCCCCCCCCCCGUCUUAGCUCCAGCGCCGGCGUCAGCAUCCUCAUCAGUAGCGUUAUCGUCCUUAUCGUUCUCCUUCUCCUUGUCGUUGGUGUCAUUGUUAUUAUCGUUGUUCUCAUCAUCGUUAUUGUCAUCGUUAUCAUUAGUAUCCUUCUUAUCAUUUUUGUCAUUUUUAUCAUCGUUAUCGCUUUUAUUAUUAUCCUUUUUAUCGUUAGCGUUAUCCUUAUUCUUGGCAUCAUUCUUAGCAUUAUCCUUUUUAUCGUCGUUAUUGUUGUCGUCAUUAUUAUCAUUAUCGUUAUUGUUAUUAUCGUUGUUAUCGUUUUUAUCAUCAUCCUUUUUAUCGUUAUAAUCAUCAUUAUGAUUGUCAUUAUUAUUAGCGUUCUUAUUUUUAUCAUUGUUAUUGUUGUCGUCAUUAUUAUCGUUAUUAUCGUUUUUAUUAUUAUCCUUUUUAUCGUUAUUAUCAUCAUUAUCAUUGUCAUUAUUAGUAGCAUUUUUAUAUUUAUCGUUGUUAUUGUUGUCGUCAUUAUUAUCGUUAUUAUUGUUAUUAUCAUUAUUAUCGGUUUUAUUAUCCUUUUUAUCGUUACUAUUAUCAGCAUUAUUAUCGUUAUCAUCAUUAUCAUUAUUGUCAUUAUUAUUAGCAUUCUUAUUUUUAUCACUGUUAUCGUUGUCGUCAUUAUUAUCAUUAUUAUCGUUAUUGUUAUUAUCCUUAUUAUAAUUAUUGUCAUUAUUAUUGUCAUUAUUAUUAUUAUCGGUAUAGUUAUCAUUAUCAUUAGCGUUAUCAUCGUUAUUAUUACUAUCGUUGUUAUCAUCAUUAUUAUUAUGAGUGGCAUUUUUAUGGUUAUUAUUAUUAACAUUAUUAUGGUUAUUAUUGUCAUUUUUAUCUUUAUCAUUAGUAUUAUUAUCAUUAUUGUUAUUGUUGUCGUCGUUAUUAUUGUCAUUAUUAUCUUUAUUAUCGUUAGUAUUAUUAUUAUUUUUUUUUUAUUAUUAUCACCAUUGUUCUCGUCCUGGGUUCGACCCCCCGGCUCUGCCCCUUGUCAGCCCUGGGGAGACAACUUUAGAGCAGCAGCGUGGCUCAGUGGAAAGAGCCGGGGCUUGGGAGUCAGAGGUCAUGGGUUCGAAUCCCAGCUCUGCCCCUUGUCAGCUGUGGGACCGGGGGCAAGUCCCUUCACUUCUCUGGGCCUCAGUUCCCUCCUCUGGAAAAUGGGGAUGAAGACGGUGAGCCCCACGUGGGACAACCUGAUGACCCCGGGUCUCCCCCAGCGCUUAGAACGGCGCCCUGCACAUAGUGAGCGCUUAACAAAUACCAACAUUAUUAUUAAUGUGGCUACCCCAGCGCUUAGAACGGCGCUCUGCACAUAG
Molecule: long non-coding RNA, 1521 nt
Filed under: Ornithorhynchus anatinus (platypus)
Lineage: Eukaryota; Metazoa; Chordata; Mammalia; Monotremata; Ornithorhynchidae
Description: lncRNA (ENSOANG00000042353.1)
Source: RNAcentral